AGAGUUUGAUCCUGGCUCAGGAUGAACGCUAGCGGCAGGCCUAAUACAUGCAAGUCGAACGGUCAUAGUGAUAUGAUAGUGGCGCACGGGUGCGUAACACGUAUGGAACCUACCUUAUAGACGGGGAUAGCCUUUGGAAACGGAGAUUAAUACCCGAUGGUAUAUUUGAGGGGCAUCCUUUAGAUAUUAAAGAUUUAUCGCUAUAAGUUGGUCAUGCGUCCAAUUAGUUAGUUGGCGGGGUAAUGGCUCACCAAGACGAUGAUUGGUAGGGGAACUGAGAGGUUAAUCCCCCACACUGGCACUGAGAUACGGGCCAGACUCCUACGGGAGGCAGCAGUAGGGAAUAUUGGGCAAUGGAGGCAACUCUGACCCAGCCAUGCCGCGUGCAGGAAGAAGGCGUUAUGCGUUGUAAACUGCUUUUAUAUAGGAAGAAAUAGACCUUGCGAGGUAAGUUGACGGUACUAUAUGAAUAAGCACCGGCUAACUCCGUGCCAGCAGCCGCGGUAAUACGGAGGGUGCAAGCGUUGUCCGGAUUUAUUGGGUUUAAAGGGUGCGUAGGCGGUUUAUUAAGUCAGUGGUGAAAGACGGUCGCUCAACGAUUGCAGUGCCAUUGAUACUGGUAGACUUGAGUGAGAUUGAGGUAGCUGGAAUGGAUAGUGUAGCGGUGAAAUGCAUAGAUAUUAUCCAGAACACCAAUUGCGUAGGCAAGUUACUAAGUCUCAACUGACGCUGAGGCACGAAAGUGUGGGUAUCAAACAGGAUUAGAUACCCUGGUAGUCCACCACCUGUAAACGAUGAUAAACUAAACUGUUGGCUUUCGGGUCAGUGGUACCAGAGAAAUCGUUAAGUAUCCCC
Molecule: ribosomal RNA, 855 nt
Filed under: uncultured bacterium
Lineage: Bacteria
Description: bacterial SSU rRNA
Rfam family: Bacterial small subunit ribosomal RNA
Source: RNAcentral